Molecule: ribosomal RNA, 261 nt
Filed under: uncultured prokaryote
Description: partial 16S ribosomal RNA
Rfam family: Bacterial small subunit ribosomal RNA
Source: RNAcentral
UACGGAGGAUCCGAGCGUUAUCCGGAUUUAUUGGGUUUAAAGGGUGCGCAGGCGGAAGAUUAAGUCGGUGGUGAAAUUUUGCAGCUCAACUGUAAAAGUGCCAUUGAUACUGGUUUUCUUGAGUGUGGAUGAAGUAGGCGGAAUUUGUGGUGUAGCGGUGAAAUGCAUAGAUAUCACGAGGAACUCCGAUUGCGCAGGCAGCUUACUAGGCCAUAACUGACGCUCAGGCACGAAGGCGUGGGGAUCAAACAGGAUUAGAUA